GAUGAACGCUGACAGAAUGCUUAACACAUGCAAGUCGACCUGAAUGUGGGUUUUUAACUUAGGUUUGGGUGGCGGACGGGUGAGUAACGCGUAAAGAACUUGCCUCACAGCUAGUGACAACAUUUGGAAACGAAUGCUAAUAUCUAAUAUUAUGAUAAUAGAGCAUCCUAUAAUUAUGAAAGCUAUAAGCGCUGUGGGAGAGCUUUGCGUCCAAUCAGCUAGUUGGAGAGGUAGCGGCUCACCAAGGCGAUGAUGGGUAGCCGGCCUGAGAGGGUGAUCGGCCAAAAGGGGCCUGAGAAACGGCCAGUACUCUUACGGGAGGAAGAAGUGGGGAAUAUGGGAAAAGGGCGCGAGAGUUUGAUAGAGAAAUUCUGUGUGCAAGAUGAAGUUUUUCGGAAUGUAAAGUGCUUUCAGUUGGGAAGAAACAAAUGACGGUAACAACAGAAGAAGUGACGGCUAAAUACGUG
RNAcentral lists this ribosomal RNA (467 nucleotides) under uncultured bacterium. RNAcentral describes it as "partial 16S ribosomal RNA". It matches the Rfam family "Bacterial small subunit ribosomal RNA", at positions 28 to 507 of the family's 1533-position model. The record is from RNAcentral.